AUGCGCGACCACGAAGCACCGCCGGCUCGCACUAACCGCCGCGUUGUCCCGCAUGCCUCGCCGUCGCCGUCGCCGCUCGCCGUCACCGUCGCCGCUCGCCGUCGCCGCCGCCGCUCGCCGGUUGGAGCACUGGUCGCCGUUCGAGCAGCCCCGACGACCUUGCGGCGCGCCUCGCCACGGUGGCCGUCGCAGUUCGCCGCGGUGACCUGUCACGGCUCUAAAAAAAGCUUCAAUUGUUGCAGCUUUGGAAUUGCUGGUUCCAGCAAAAUUAAAAACUGGUUGAAGCAAAAUUUAUUUCCGGUUGUAUCAAAAAUUGCUUUGCAUCUCUGA
RNAcentral lists this ribosomal RNA (330 nucleotides) under Triticum aestivum (bread wheat). RNAcentral describes it as "partial small subunit ribosomal RNA". The record is from RNAcentral. Lineage: Eukaryota; Viridiplantae; Streptophyta; Magnoliopsida; Poales; Poaceae.